This 517-nucleotide ribosomal RNA is filed under the name uncultured bacterium. RNAcentral describes it as "bacterial SSU rRNA". It matches the Rfam family "Bacterial small subunit ribosomal RNA", at positions 60 to 570 of the family's 1533-position model. The record is from RNAcentral.
AGUCGAGGGGUAACGGAAGUAGCUUGCUACUAGACGACGACCGGCGCACGGGUGAGUAACGCGUAUGUAAUCUGCCUUGUACAGAGGGAUAGCCCAGAGAAAUUUGGAUUAAUAUCUCAUAGUAUUACCGAAUCGCAUGAUUUGGUAAUUAAAGCUCCGGCGGUACAAGAUGAACAUGCGUGACAUUAGCUAGUUGGUAAGGUAACGGCUUACCAAGGCUACGAUGUCUAGGGGUUCUGAGAGGAUGAUCCCCCACACUGGUACUGAGACACGGACCAGACUCCUACGGGAGGCAGCAGUGAGGAAUAUUGGUCAAUGGACGCAAGUCUGAACCAGCCAUCCCGCGUGAAGGAUGACUGCCCUAUGGGUUGUAAACUUCUUUUAUAUGCAAAUAAACCUACUUUCGUGAAAGUAGCUGAAGGUAGCAUAUGAAUAAACACCGGCUAACUCCGUGCCAGCAGCCGCGGUAAUACGGAGGGUGUAAGCGUUAUCCGGAUUUAUUGGGUUUAAAGGGUAC